This 459-nucleotide ribosomal RNA is filed under the name uncultured Proteiniphilum sp. Its description in RNAcentral is "bacterial SSU rRNA". It matches the Rfam family "Bacterial small subunit ribosomal RNA", at positions 921 to 1382 of the family's 1533-position model. Lineage: Bacteria; Pseudomonadati; Bacteroidota; Bacteroidia; Bacteroidales; Dysgonomonadaceae. The record is from RNAcentral.
CCGACAAGCGGAGGAACAUGUGGUUUAAUUCGAUGAUACGCGAGGAACCUUACCCGGCUUGAAAUGCAUCUGACCGGCCUUGAAAGAGGCACUCCCUUCGGGGCAGAUGUGUAGGUGCUGCAUGGUUGUCGUCAGCUCGUGCCGUGAGGUGUCGGCUUAAGUGCCAUAACGAGCGCAACCCUCAUCAUUAGUUACCAUCAGGUAAGGCUGGGGACUCUAAUGAGACUGCCAUCGUAAGAUGUGAGGAAGGUGGGGAUGACGUCAAAUCAGCACGGCCCUUACGUCCGGGGCGACACACGUGUUACAAUGGGUGGUACAAAGGGCAGCUACCUGGCGACAGGAUGCUAAUCUCGAAAACCGCUCUCAGUUCGGAUCGGAGUCUGCAACUCGACUCCGUGAAGCUGGAUUCGCUAGUAAUCGCGCAUCAGCCACGGCGCGGUGAAUACGUUCCCGGGCCUU